AGGAAACAUGAGAAAAUCCUGCAAGUUCUUGAUCGAAAUGGCAAAAUCGAAAAUCCCAUAAGAAACGCAUACAGUUGUCAGUUGUCCUACCUCGUAAUUUAGGAUAAAUGGAGUGGCUUUUGCAAUGGUCUUGGCAGAAAAAUUAGUAAAUUACCCCGUCUCCGUCUUGUUUGCAAAGUUUUCAAAAGGGAAAAAUUUCCCGCCCCUUCCACUCUCAUUUGCCUCACCAGCGUAACAGCGUUGUUGUUUAUUCGAUCUUUCCUAAUCUCUUCGGGUCUCAGAUUCCGAACAUGGCCUCUCUCUCUCUCUCCCUCUCUCUGCAACUCCCACGGAAGAUUUCAUUCGAGCUCGUUGGCUUUUUCCUCCGCAAGGCACCUGUUUCAGUUCUUCCUUCGUUUAAAGGACCAAACACGGAGCUCCUGAUUAACAAGCCGUUCUUAUUAAAUAAGCACACUGUCAAACGCUCAGAUUGCCAUCCACAUAUCACAGCAUCGAUUCAUUCGUGCAAACUGCAACCGCACUAGCUUGGCUUGGCGAUCUACUUAGUCCAACACCUGAACUAUCUACCAAGAGGGAGCACCAGAUCGUGCAUCAUCAAUAAUAUCACUAUUCUGAACAAAAAUAGAACUAUGAUUGAUCGAUACACGACUACUUGCAUUGCAUUGUUAUGGAGCUUGCUUAUAUUUUUGGUUACCUUGAUUAUCACUCAAAGAUUUCUUUCCUUGUUCCUUUGCCACAUUUUAUGAACUUGAUAAUUUCCUUCCAACAAUCAUUGG
Nelumbo nucifera (sacred lotus) is the source of this 776-nucleotide non-coding RNA. The record is from RefSeq and is a predicted model, not a curated record. NCBI's taxonomy places the organism in Eukaryota, Viridiplantae, Streptophyta, Magnoliopsida, Proteales, Nelumbonaceae.